Alosa alosa (allis shad) is the source of this 2550-nucleotide long non-coding RNA. RefSeq lists it as uncharacterized. The record is from RefSeq and is a predicted model, not a curated record. The transcript is spliced from 2 exons. NCBI's taxonomy places the organism in Eukaryota, Metazoa, Chordata, Actinopteri, Clupeiformes, Clupeidae.
CAGACAGGUCCAGAGCUUAGCUGCCCCUGGGCGCUUUAGAUCACACACCCACCUGCCCCAGAGCGGAGCAGUGUGGCUGAAUCUGAGCCCCCCUGAGAGGGCCAGGGUCUUUCCGCUCACGGCUCGCGGACAUGGAGCCGCCUGUGGAAUGCUCAGGCUCUAAGAUGCCUGGCUCCUUUGGCUCCUGUAAAACUGUGCUAAGGCCACACGCACUGUACAUCAGAGGAGCUGAAUUUACUGGGCCAUUGACAUUUCAAAUGCAUGUGUUACUGUGUUUUCAGUUUUCAGGAUCAAUUGUUUGAUUGAUAAUUGGAUUGUUUGGAUUAAAAAAGAUUUGUGCAAAUGUGUUUUUCUUCACCUUCAUUUUCCCCUAGGGCCCGAAUACAAUAAUGAUAUGUAUGGUCAUCCUGCUGAACAUCGGACUAGCCAUACUGUUCGUACACAUCCUUUCCUGAAGCCUUGCAAACCCAGAUUCUCCACCCGUGUGGCGCUGGAGGAACAGGAGGAGCAUGGCCUCUGCCUUUACACUGGACCAUCGUGAACAUAGACUCUUCCCUGAUGCUUAGAGGGGCUGCAGCCCAGGGAUGACGGCCGAUCUGCUGGAGCAGUCCACUCUGAGCUCCGCCUGAAAGUGGACGAUGCCGCUCUCAUCUGCUGCCACUCACGGCAAGACAUACAGACAGACAGACAGACAGACAGACAGAUAGCUGCUUGGCCUGCCAGACACCAAGAGCAGUUAUCCCCUCCACCCCCCACCCCACCCCCAACCCAACGAGGAAGUUCCCCCACUCCCUCACUGCUCUGCUCUCAUGUGGAGAGAGGAUGUGGCCUCAGAUGUGAGGGGAUGCAGUAAGCAGCAGGGAGUUGGUAAAGCCGUGCUGCUGGUCUGGAUGAGAUGCUGGCUGUAAGGGGGUUUCGGUAAAGUGCUCUUAGUGGAUCACAACAGAGAUCUAGAAACUACUUCAUGAUACAGAAAAUGGAGCUCUUUACAGAAUACCAACCGGAAAUUCAUCAAGAUAUUUUGAUGGUUGUCUGAUUUCUUUGUGUUAGAAUUGACAAGUAGUCUAAUGAAAAUUCAUGAAAUUAAACAAAAUUAUGUUAUAAAGCCUAAACAAAGAUGGCAAAUACAUCAAAGAAAAAAGUGUAUUCUCUAUUGAUUUAUUAUUUAUGUCACUGGAUUGUUUCUGUUUUCAAGUAAUAUCCAAACAUUAUCUAUCUGUAACUUACAUGUACUGAGCAAAAUGUCUUAAAGAGUUUGCUAAUUUCACUGGUAGGCUGCUCAGAGUGCACGAUGAGUGAUCUUUGCACGUUGCAUUCUAGCGGCAGGAAAUCGCUUAUUCUUUCACGGUGGCAGAAAUCACUUUUUACCAUGAAUUCAGUUGGUCAUGACGGAAUGCUGUAGUAUUUAUGAAAUUAUUGAUUUGUAACGUGACUUGCUUGCACUUGUUUGACUUGUGAGCCGGAUGGGUGUCAGAGCAAAUGGAGGAGAGGAAAGAGGUGGAAGGACCUGGCACUGCUUUUGAAACCACUGUGUUAUUGGAGAUCAUGUGAAAAGGUUGUUAAAGUAAGUGCCAUGGAAUGUGUGUCUGCUGGUUGUAUUUGAAGAACACAGCACUACAACUGUAGGAGUUUGUGGUUGGGCAGAAGAAACUGAUUUUAAUCUCACUGUUCUGUAGAUAGUUUUUAAAAAUGUCUCGUUUUUUGGGGUGGUUAAUUAAUCAAAUUCAAAUCAAAAUCAAAUUGACUGAGAAAAAAAGAAAAAAAAUUUAAAAAAGAGAUAUGAAUUCAUUUGCUGGAGGCUGUUGUUAUGUGUUUUUUUUGCGCAUUUGGUCAUUUUACAUCUAAAAAUAUGUGUGUGUUACACACACCUGUGAUUGCAGUAGUCAUGUACUGUCCCAUAUUUCAAAUGUGUGCAUGUUGUUCUGAGGGAGUGUAUUCCUACCUUUUCACAACAAUUCAAAUAGUGUCAUACGUUUGACUUUAGCUGAACUCAAUUAGCCUAUAAAUCUGUGACUUUAUGCAGUGUCCCCUGUAGUUUCACUGGAUUUGUGAAAUUUAGAAAAUAAAAGUACUUUGCUAGAACCUCAGGUACUAUUGCACUGUAGGAAGUAGGGUGUCAAUGGCAUGAACAUACACAAACACACACUAACACACUCUAUCAUUAUUGAUCUCACAAGUCACAAGUAGGUUUUAAAGGCUAUCUCUGUGUGUCAGCCAAAUUCUACAGUAUGUUAUGGGUGUGAAUGUUCACUCAAACCAUUUUAUUUCACCUGUUUGUUAACUGCCCUGUUAAAAUGUUUAUUUAUGGACGUUUACUUGUAUGUUUUAAUCUGCUGGCAGCAUCCCAGUGUAGAGAUAUUUUUGUUUGUUUAGAGAAUUAUUUUCAUGUAUUAUCUUCAUGUAGCCCUGUGGUCACAUUGAUAAAAGGCCCCAGCUUGUAGGUUGGAUGUGAUUGAGGCCCUCACUGAAGUCUGUCAUCUAGAUAUUUAUUUCUGAUUCUGCUUUGCAUCAGUCAAAUUGAAAUAAAACUAUUUUUCAGCUCAAACUUAA